AGCAGCCGCGGUAAUUCCAGCUCCAAUAGCGUAUAUUAAAGUUGUUGCAGUUAAAAAGCUCGUAGUUGAAUUUCGGGGUCAGUAGAUUGGUCAUGCCUCCGGUAUGCACUGGUCUUACUGGCUCCUCCUUCCUGAUGAACCGUAAUGCCAUUAAUUUGGUGUUGCGGGGAGACUGGACUGUUACUUUGAAAAAUUGAGUGUUUAAAGCAGGCUAACGCUUGAAUACAUUAGCAUGGAAUAAUGAAAUAGGACGUUCGAUCUUAUUUUGUUGGUUUCUAAGAUUGACGUAAUGAUUAAUAGGGAUAGUUGGGGGCAUUAGUAUUCAAUUGUCAGAGGUGAAAUUCUUGGAUUUAUUGAAGACUAACUACUGCGAAAGCAUUUGCCAAGGAUGUU
RNAcentral lists this ribosomal RNA (393 nucleotides) under uncultured Glomeromycotina. Its description in RNAcentral is "SSU rRNA". It matches the Rfam family "Eukaryotic small subunit ribosomal RNA", at positions 569 to 968 of the family's 1831-position model. Lineage: Eukaryota; Fungi; Glomeromycota. The record is from RNAcentral.